GACGAAGGGGGCUAGCGUUGUUCGGAAUUACUGGGCGUAAAGCGCGUGUAGGCGGUUGUUCAAGUCAGGUGUGAAAGCCUUGAGCUCAACUCAAGAAAUGCACUUGAUACUGGAUGACUAGAGGACCGGAGAGGAUAGUGGAAUUCCCAGUGUAGUGGUGAAAUACGUAGAUAUCGCUUGGAACGCCGACGGUGAAAACAGCUCGCUGGGGACUCGCUGACGCUGAGACACGAAAGCCAGGGGAGCGAACGGG
Molecule: ribosomal RNA, 253 nt
Filed under: uncultured bacterium
Lineage: Bacteria
Description: partial 16S ribosomal RNA
Rfam family: Bacterial small subunit ribosomal RNA
Source: RNAcentral